Long non-coding RNA from Salvelinus fontinalis (brook trout), 283 nucleotides. RefSeq lists it as uncharacterized. The record is from RefSeq and is a predicted model, not a curated record. NCBI's taxonomy places the organism in Eukaryota, Metazoa, Chordata, Actinopteri, Salmoniformes, Salmonidae. The transcript has 3 exons.
GCAAAUUCGGGUUGGCGACACGGUCCAUCUACCACCAACCUACUGAAGCGCAGCUCAGACCCCAGUGAUUCUAAAUGAGCUGAACUGGACCCAGGCGCUGGAGAAGGUGUUUAUGGAGAACAGUCAAGAGGAUCCUUCACUACUCUGGCAGGCGUUUGGUAGCGCCACUGGGGUCACCCGCUACUACCCAGGAGUGGCAGUGUGAGCGGCCUCACUUUGAAGCUGAUCAAGUCAUCAGUGAUGGAGAUGCUGGACACUGUCUGAUGACGACUAUGUCAACGUG